This is a non-coding RNA of Homo sapiens (human), 270 nucleotides long. It matches the Rfam family "Metazoan signal recognition particle RNA". From Rfam's summary of the family: The signal recognition particle (SRP) is a universally conserved ribonucleoprotein. It is involved in the co-translational targeting of proteins to membranes. The eukaryotic SRP consists of a 300-nucleotide 7S RNA and six proteins: SRPs 72, 68, 54, 19, 14, and 9. The record is from Rfam. Lineage: Eukaryota; Metazoa; Chordata; Mammalia; Primates; Hominidae.
GCCAGGUGUGGUGGCAGGCACCUGUAAUCCCAGCUACCUGGAGGCUGAGGCAGGAGAAUCGCUUGAACACGGGAGGCGGAGGUUGCAGUGAGCUGAGAUCGCGCCACUGCACUCCAUCCCUCCAUCCUGGGCAACACAGAGUGAGGCUAUCUCAAUUUUUUUUUUUUUUUUUUUUGAGGCAGAGUCUCGCUCUGUUGCCCAGGCUGGAGUGCAGUGGAACAAACUCAGCUCACCACAACCUCCCGUGUUCAAGCGAUUCUCCUGCCUCAG